Molecule: ribosomal RNA, 512 nt
Filed under: uncultured bacterium
Lineage: Bacteria
Description: partial 16S ribosomal RNA
Rfam family: Bacterial small subunit ribosomal RNA
Source: RNAcentral
GAUGAACGCUGGCGGCGUGCCUAAUACAUGCAAGUCGAACGAAACUUCUUUAUCACCGAGUGCUUGCACUCAGCGAUAAAGGGUUGAGUGGCGAACGGGUGAGUAACACGUGUGCAACCUGCCCAAAAGAGGGGGAUAACACUUGGAGACAGGAGCUAAUACCGCAUAACCAUAGUUACCGCAUGGUAACUAUGUCAAAGGAGGCUAUACUACCGCUUUUGGAUGGGCGCGCGGCGCAUUAGCUAGUUGGUAGGGUAAAGGCUUACCAAGGCAAUGAUGCGUAGCCGAAUUGAGAGGUUGAUCGGCCACAUUGGGACUGAGACACGGCCCAAACUCCUACGGGAGGCAGCAGUAGGGAAUCUUCCACAAUGGGCGAAAGCCUGAUGGAGCAACGCCGCGUGGGUGAAGAAGGUCUUCGGAUCGUAAAACCCUGUUGUUAGAGAAGAAAGUGCGUGAGAGUAACUGUUCACGUUUCGACGGUAUCUAACCAGAAAGCCACGGCUAACUACGUG